Transfer RNA from Camelus ferus (Wild Bactrian camel), 73 nucleotides. It matches the Rfam family "tRNA". Rfam says of the family: Transfer RNA (tRNA) molecules are approximately 80 nucleotides in length. Their secondary structure includes four short double-helical elements and three loops (D, anti-codon, and T loops). Lineage: Eukaryota; Metazoa; Chordata; Mammalia; Artiodactyla; Camelidae. The record is from Rfam.
AAGGGUAUAGCUCAAGUGGUAGAGCGCAUGCUCGGCACCCAAGAGGUCCUGGGUUCAAUCCCCAGUACCUCCU